GAACGGAUCCUUCGGGAUUAGUGGCGGACGGGUGAGUAACACGUGGGAACGUGCCCUUUGGUUCGGAACAACUCAGGGAAACUUGAGCUAAUACCGGAUGUGCCCUUCGGGGGAAAGAUUUAUCGCCAUUGGAGCGGCCCGCGUCUGAUUAGCUAGUUGGUGGGGUAAAGGCCCACCAAGGCGACGAUCAGUAGCUGGUCUGAGAGGAUGAUCAGCCACAUUGGGACUGAGACACGGCCCAA
RNAcentral lists this ribosomal RNA (242 nucleotides) under uncultured bacterium. RNAcentral's name for it is "partial 16S ribosomal RNA". It matches the Rfam family "Bacterial small subunit ribosomal RNA", at positions 64 to 334 of the family's 1533-position model. The record is from RNAcentral.